Long non-coding RNA from Oreochromis niloticus (Nile tilapia), 301 nucleotides. RefSeq lists it as uncharacterized. Lineage: Eukaryota; Metazoa; Chordata; Actinopteri; Cichliformes; Cichlidae. The transcript is spliced from 3 exons. The record is from RefSeq and is a predicted model, not a curated record.
GCUAUUGGGACCAAGGAGGCAGGCUGAGGGGGAGGUACGAAAAGUUUCCCUGCUGGAGACUCCGGAGGAGAUCCCAUCCUGAUCCAUAAUGAAGAGCAGGCUCUGCGGGCAUGGUCUCACAUUGACAGGUAAACAGUCAACAUAAAGCGCAAAAACAGUUGACUGCAUUGGCAUAAAUACAACCUGGAAGCCAUCAGCCUUAGGAGAAUGAAACACAGGAAAUGGUCCAGAGAUGAAUCAACCCCAGGCCCCUGCAGCAUUUCAUCAGCAUGUCUUUAUCCUGUUUUCCUUCUCUCACCCC